AGAAGUCGUAACAAGGUUUCCGUAGGUGAACCUGCGGGAGGANCAUUGUCGAGACCGAAAUAUAUCGAGCGAUUCGGAGAACCUGUGAACGAGCGACGGCGCCCGCCGUCGCGUGACGUCCGCCCCUGCCGCCGGCCUCGUCGGGGCCGCGAUCAGGGGCGGAUAAAACUCAAACCGGCGCAGCUACGCGCCAAGGCAACGCAAAUAGACGAGCCCGCACCGGGCUCGGUGGCGUGCGGUGCNUUCGGGCAUCGCGCGCGUAAAAAUGACUCUCGGCAAUGGAUAUCUCGGCUCUCGCAUCGAUGAAGAGCGCAGCGAAAUGCGAUACGUGGUGCGAAUUGCAGAAUCCCGCGAACCAUCGAGAAUUUGAACGCAAGUUGCGCCCGAGGCCAGCCGGCCAAGGGCACGUCCGCCUGGGCGUCAAGCGUUGCGUCGCUCCGCUCCAGCCCCAUCCCACCCGACGGGUGUGCAUGCGGGAGGGUCGGAUGUGCAGAGUGGCCCGUCGUGCCCACGGGUGCGACGGGCUGAAGAGCGGGUGAUCGUCUCGUUGUCCGCGAACAACAAAGGGGUGGAUGAAAAUUGUGCCUGUGUUGUUGUAUCGUGGCGGCAUGAGAAGUGAUCGUAACCCGCGGAUGAUCCCACCCCGAGCGUCGAUCCACGGACGGCGGCUUGGAAUGCGACCCC
Molecule: ribosomal RNA, 684 nt
Filed under: Stelis canae
Lineage: Eukaryota; Viridiplantae; Streptophyta; Magnoliopsida; Asparagales; Orchidaceae
Description: eukaryotic LSU rRNA
Rfam family: 5.8S ribosomal RNA (bases 268-423)
Source: RNAcentral